RNAcentral lists this ribosomal RNA (255 nucleotides) under Enterococcus faecalis. RNAcentral's name for it is "partial 16S ribosomal RNA". It matches the Rfam family "Bacterial small subunit ribosomal RNA", at positions 153 to 401 of the family's 1533-position model. Lineage: Bacteria; Bacillati; Bacillota; Bacilli; Lactobacillales; Enterococcaceae. The record is from RNAcentral.
GAAACAGGUGCUAAUACCGCAUAACAGUUUAUGCCGCAUGGCAUAAGAGUGAAAGGCGCUUUCGGGUGUCGCUGAUGGAUGGACCCGCGGUGCAUUAGCUAGUUGGUGAGGUAACGGCUCACCAAGGUCACGAUGCAUAGCCGACCUGAGAGGGUGAUCGGCCACACUGGGACUGAGACACGGCCCAGACUCCUACGGGAGGCAGCAGUAGGGAAUCUUCGGCAAUGGACGAAAGUCUGACCGAGCAACGCCGCG